GCAGGGGUAGCGAAGUGGUCAAACGCGGCAGCCUCAAGAGCUGUUCCCUUUGUGGGUUCGGGAGUUCGAAUCUCCCUCCCUGCACCA
This 87-nucleotide transfer RNA is filed under the name Nanobdellota archaeon. RNAcentral describes it as "tRNA-Leu". It matches the Rfam family "tRNA". From Rfam's summary of the family: Transfer RNA (tRNA) molecules are approximately 80 nucleotides in length. Their secondary structure includes four short double-helical elements and three loops (D, anti-codon, and T loops). Lineage: Archaea; Nanobdellati; Nanobdellota. The record is from RNAcentral.